This is a long non-coding RNA of Manis pentadactyla (Chinese pangolin), 512 nucleotides long. RefSeq lists it as uncharacterized. The record is from RefSeq and is a predicted model, not a curated record. The transcript has 3 exons. Lineage: Eukaryota; Metazoa; Chordata; Mammalia; Pholidota; Manidae.
CAGGAUAUGUUUUGAGGAUUCUGACGAAUGGGGAAAAAGAGAAGCUGUGUAAAUUUUGAACUGUACAUUUUUUCUAUCAAGCAGGAACAGUGCACCUUCAAUUUUAAAAUAAAACCAUAAAAAGGGCAACCUCUAAAAUUCCUGGAGCAUGUCUGUGCGGAUGUCGGGACCAUGCCUUCCUCACCUCCCACAUGCAUCUAUCACCUGUAAAGAUGGAUGUCUUUGCUGAGAAUAUGUGAUCUCCAGAAAUGAAGAUGCAUUUCAUUUUGGCGUAGCAAUAUAAUAAAGAAAUCUUGAGAAGGCAUUUAAGAUUUGUUCCAUUGAAGGCAGUUCAUUGAUUUUUUAAGAAAAUAUAUGGUCAUGUCCAGGCAGUUUCACAGUUGCCAACGAUUGGAUAACAGUAAGCUUUACCUAAGCAGUAUUCUAUCAAAGGAUGUGCCACGCACUGACUCUCUGGAGGAGACAGGGACCCAGGUCGGCAUGAGCUAAGCAGCACACUGGAGGGCUCCUGC